CCUACGGGGUGCUGCAGUGAGGAAUAUUGGUCAAUGGACGAGAGUCUGAACCAGCCAAGUAGCGUGAAGGAUGACUGCCCUAUGGGUUGUAAACUUCUUUUAUAUGGGAAUAAAAUGUUCCACGUGUGGGAUUUUGUAUGUACCAUAUGAAUAAGGAUCGGCUAACUCCGUGCCAGCAGCCGCGGUAAUACGGAGGAUCCGAGCGUUAUCCGGAUUUAUUGGGUUUAAAGGGAGCGUAGGUGGAUUGUUAAGUCAGUUGCGAAAGUUUGCGGCUCAACCGUAAAAUUGCAGUUGAAACUGGCAGUCUUGAGUACAGUAGAGGUGGGCGGAAUUCGUGGUGUAGCGGUGAAAUGCUUAGAUAUCACGAAGAACUCCGAUUGCGAAGGCAGCUCACUGGACUGCAACUGACACUGAGGCUCGAAAGUGUGGGUAUCAAACAGGAUUAGAUACCCCGGUAGUC
RNAcentral lists this ribosomal RNA (460 nucleotides) under uncultured bacterium. RNAcentral describes it as "partial 16S ribosomal RNA". It matches the Rfam family "Bacterial small subunit ribosomal RNA", at positions 338 to 795 of the family's 1533-position model. The record is from RNAcentral.